GAUGAACGCUGGCGGCGUGCCUAAUACAUGCAAGUCGAGCGAACGGACGAGAAGCUUGCUUCUCUGAUGUUAGCGGCGGACGGGUGAGUAACACGUGGAUAACCUACCUAUAAGACUGGGAUAACUUCGGGAAACCGGAGCUAAUACCGGAUAAUAUUUUGAACCGCAUGGUUCAAAAGUGAAAGACGGUCUUGCUGUCACUUAUAGAUGGAUCCGCGCUGCAUUAGCUAGUUGGUAAGGUAACGGCUUACCAAGGCAACGAUGCAUAGCCGACCUGAGAGGGUGAUCGGCCACACUGGAACUGAGACACGGUCCAGACUCCUAAGGGAGGCAGCAGUAGGGAAUCUUCCGAAAUGGGCGAAAGCCUGACGGAGCAACGCCGCGUGAGUGAUGAAGGUCUUCGGAUCGUAAAACUCUGUUAUUAGGGAAGAACAUAUGUGUAAGUAACUGUGCACAUCUUGACGGUACCUAAUCAGAAAGCCACGGCUAACUACGUG
This 497-nucleotide ribosomal RNA is filed under the name uncultured bacterium. RNAcentral's name for it is "partial 16S ribosomal RNA". It matches the Rfam family "Bacterial small subunit ribosomal RNA", at positions 28 to 507 of the family's 1533-position model. The record is from RNAcentral.